RNAcentral lists this ribosomal RNA (253 nucleotides) under uncultured bacterium. RNAcentral describes it as "partial 16S ribosomal RNA". It matches the Rfam family "Bacterial small subunit ribosomal RNA", at positions 524 to 776 of the family's 1533-position model. The record is from RNAcentral.
UACAGAGGUCUCAAGCGUUGUUCGGAUUCAUUGGGCGUAAAGGGCGCGUAGGUGGCCCGGUCAGUCCGUGGUGAAAGCGCGGGGCUCAACCCCGCGUCGGCCAUGGAUACUGCUGGGCUGGAGCACUGUAGAGGCAGGCGGAAUUCCGGGUGUAGCGGUGGAAUGCGUAGAGAUCCGGAAGAACACCGGUGGCGAAGGCGGCCUGCUGGGCAGUUGCUGACACUGAGGCGCGACAGCGUGGGGAGCAAACAGG